AGGGGAUACAAACAAAAGAAGCCCUCGUGCUCGCACGAGAGGGCUUCUUUUUGUUUGUAAGACCCGCCCCAAUAUGAGCAUAAAAGCGACUUUAGUCGCGAUAUGCGAAUAUUGGGAAGGAUUGCGGGAGCGCGAAGCGCGUAGCAAUCCGUAG
This 154-nucleotide small RNA is filed under the name pig gut metagenome. RNAcentral describes it as "Clostridiales-1 RNA". It matches the Rfam family "Clostridiales-1 RNA". The record is from RNAcentral.